GUUACUCCAUAUAAAUAUCUUUUCAAGAUAUCCAAUCAAGAAAGCUAUUUCACAUUCUUUUCUUGGAGUCGAUGCCCAAUAUCACCUCAUUAUAGAUUUUGGAAUCAUCUCUAUGUUCUUUAUUUUUCAUGAGAAACACUUUCUUUGCAUCCUCUGUAAGCAUACCUGAGUACUUUUCAUGAGGAUGGGAGAUCCUAUUAGAUCAUCG
This 208-nucleotide long non-coding RNA is filed under the name Elaeis guineensis (African oil palm). RNAcentral's name for it is "long non-coding RNA (EGUI_LNC032495)". Lineage: Eukaryota; Viridiplantae; Streptophyta; Magnoliopsida; Arecales; Arecaceae. The record is from RNAcentral.